CAAUAGAUGAGUAUGUGCAUAUGAUUCUAAGAUUAGUUCCUGGAUACGUUUGCAGAUAACUGAUGUAUAUGCAAUUAAAAUGUUUGAAGAUGUGAAGUGCCAAGUUACUAAUAAACAAUGAUUAGUCAUGCAAAUAAAUGUAAGUAUUUAAAUUAGAGCAAUUUCAAUAUGACUCAUAUUGUAGAAAAGAACCUGUAUAAAAAUACAGAAUAGGCAAUUUGUUAGUGGGAACAACCUUUGAUUAGGGGAGUUGAGUUUUAAUUUUUUUUAGGGAGUAUGAAUACACAGCAAAGUAGCAAUGUAAGAGAAUAAUAAUCAAUAAAAUAAUAAUAAAGUUAAAAACUAAUAAUUAAUAAACUCUGUUUUUCAAAUAUGUUGAGAACUACAAACAAGAUACUUAUAUCUUCUCAUCUCUGCUUGAGCCACACUACAACUCAGAGUAUCUUGGGAAUGCUCAGAUAUGUACUACCUGAAACAUGGCAGCUUUGCUGGCUGGUUUGAGUCAUGACCUAUGGUGCCAUGGUAGUUUUGUGUUAAGAUUUACCACCACUUUUCUGCCAAGAUCUUUCUUGAAAAGACCUUCUAUGGACGAUCUGCCACUUUUCUGACUGUGAGUAACAGAAAGUUGUAGGAACACUUGACAUGAGACCUUCUGCUAUAUAGGAGAUAACUUGGUGAGAUUUGACGCUCAACAGUCACUUUUAUAUAUGUAUACCAUUAUGUGAAAGGUAAGAAUAAAUAAAGUGUUAGGACCAAGACUUUGUUCUGCUGCAAAGAGAGAGCUUUGGAGAGUUAGAGCUAGAUGUUUAAUGUUUUUGAAUAUGGAGGUAUCUUCUACUUCCCUUGGAGAGCGGAAUCAGGCACGUCUUCUGAGCAAUGAAGUGGAACAUCAGGAUAUUUUUAUUGAUAUGUGCGUGUUCAUCACCUUUGGUAAUAUAUCUGGGCAAUGCAAGUGAUGAAUAUUUGAUGGACUACAGGAAUGCAUUGAUGAAAUUUUGCCUUGUCUUUUUGUUUCUGGUGCCAGCAGUUUAAAGUGGAGUGUCCAAGAGUUCAACUAACCUUCAAUUAAAAAUCAAGAGAGGGAACGAUUUGCUUCCUGGUUUAUCAACACCAUAUAGUGCCUCAAUUCACUAUCUGCUAGUCAGAAUAUCUGCAGUCUACUUAAUUUAUCAAUAAAAUGUGAAGGAUCAAGUGAAUCUUCUAGUCUGGCUUCCUAGUUUUAGUGGAACUUGCUGAGCGAUAUGAGUGCAUUUACAUGUGUAUGUUCGUGCAUAUAUGUUUGUAUACCCGUAUAUUUCUAAUCCUGCUCAAAUUUAAACUACUUUUCAGUAGGAGCUCUCAGAGAUGAAAUUGCAGGACUUGUCAGCUCUUGCUACACCUCUUCUGAAGAGCAUAUAUUUGAAAAGUCAAGGCAUAGAUCUGCCAGUUGCCACAUUUUCCUGUCAGCACAGCAAGUCCCCUCAACACGCAAAGGAAGAAAAUCUGACUCAUGUCAAACUCUUGAUGCAAGUUACACAAGAUGCAACUUUAUGCCUGUAUGAGAGGUCCUGGCUCUGUUCCAGAUUGUAGAAACUGGAUUUGCAAUUGCCUUAUUUACAAGGUCUCUGGGAUGGGAUGAUGUCACCUUUUGUACCUGUCUGGUAUCUACCAUGAUGAGGCCUUGAUCCUGGCUGAGGGUGUUGGCUGUUUGAUGAAUGCUAAAUUGGGAAGCAGCUAUAGGAAACCUGAAUUUCUAACACACUCUGCAACACUUGAGCUAGAGCAAAUACAACUGAUACUUAUAAAAUCACUAAGGCAUUUGCCACUUGUCACUAUCUCUUAUACAGUCAUUGGUACAUCAGUUCUCUUCCAGUUCUUCC
This is a long non-coding RNA of Gallus gallus (chicken), 1859 nucleotides long. Lineage: Eukaryota; Metazoa; Chordata; Aves; Galliformes; Phasianidae. The record is from Ensembl.